UGCAGUCGAGCGGUAGAGAGAAGCUUGCUUCUCUUGAGAGCGGCGGACGGGUGAGUAAUGCCUAGGAAUCUGCCUGGUAGUGGGGGAUAACGUUCGGAAACGAACGCUAAUACCGCAUACGUCCUACGGGAGAAAGCAGGGGACCUUCGGGCCUUGCGCUAUCAGAUGAGCCUAGGUCGGAUUAGCUAGUUGGUGAGGUAAUGGCUCACCAAGGCGACGAUCCGUAACUGGUCUGAGAGGAUGAUCAGUCACACUGGAACUGAGACACGGUCCAGACUCCUACGGGAGGCAGCAGUGGGGAAUAUUGGACAAUGGGCGAAAGCCUGAUCCAGCCAUGCCGCGUGUGUGAAGAAGGUCUUCGGAUUGUAAAGCACUUUAAGUUGGGAGGAAGGGCAGUUACCUAAUACGUGAUUGUUUUGACGUUACCGACAGAAUAAGCACCGGCUAACUCUGUGCCAGCAGCCGCGGUAAUAC
Molecule: ribosomal RNA, 474 nt
Filed under: Pseudomonas sp.
Lineage: Bacteria; Pseudomonadati; Pseudomonadota; Gammaproteobacteria; Pseudomonadales; Pseudomonadaceae
Description: bacterial SSU rRNA
Rfam family: Bacterial small subunit ribosomal RNA
Source: RNAcentral